This 464-nucleotide ribosomal RNA is filed under the name uncultured bacterium. RNAcentral's name for it is "partial 16S ribosomal RNA". It matches the Rfam family "Bacterial small subunit ribosomal RNA", at positions 339 to 795 of the family's 1533-position model. The record is from RNAcentral.
CCACGGGGGGCAGCAGUCGAGAAUUAUUCGCAAUGGGCGAAAGCCUGACGAUGCGACGCCGUGUGAGCGAAGAAGGCCUUCGGGUUGUAAAGCUCUUUCGCUAGGGAACAAGAAAUACUGAUGAAUAAUGAGUAGAUUUGAGUGUACCUGGUAAAGAAGCACCGGCUAACUCCGUGCCAGCAGCUGCGGUAAUACGGAGGGUGCGAGCAUUAAUCGGAUUUAUUGGGCGUAAAGGGCGCGUAGGCGUCUUUAUAAGUUACUUGUGAAAUUACCGGGCUCAACCUGGUAGCGGCAAGUGAAACUGUAGGGAUGGAGUUUAAGCGAGGGGAAUGGAAUUCCACGUGUAGCGGUGAAAUGCGUAGAUAUGUGGAAGAACACCGGUGGCGAAAGCGGUUUUCCAGCUUAAUACUGACGCUGAGGCGCGAAAGCAAGGGGAGCAAACAGGAUUAGAUACCCGAGUAGUC